GGGGAAUAUUGGACAAUGGGGGAAACCCUGAUCCAGCAAUGCCGCGUGAGUGAAGAAGGCCUUCGGGUUGUAAAGCUCUUUUAUCUGUGAAGAUUAUGACGGUAACAGAUGAAUAAGCACCGGCUAACUUCGUGCCAGCAGCCGCGGUAAUACGAAGGGUGCUAGCGUUGUUCGGAAUAACUGGGCGUAAAGGGCGUGUAGGUGGUUUUAUGCGUCAGAUGUGAAAGUCCUGGGCUCAACCUGGGGACAGCAUUUGAUACGGUAAAACUAGAGGCUUUGAGAGGGAGAUGGAAUUGUGCGUGUAGAAGUGAAAUUCGUAGAGAUGCACAGGAACACCAGUGGCGAAGGCGAUCUCCUGGCAACAGCCUGACACUAAAGCGCGAAAGCGUGGGGAGCAAAC
RNAcentral lists this ribosomal RNA (400 nucleotides) under uncultured bacterium. RNAcentral describes it as "bacterial SSU rRNA". It matches the Rfam family "Bacterial small subunit ribosomal RNA", at positions 356 to 773 of the family's 1533-position model. The record is from RNAcentral.